This 967-nucleotide ribosomal RNA is filed under the name Microbacterium maritypicum. RNAcentral's name for it is "bacterial SSU rRNA". It matches the Rfam family "Bacterial small subunit ribosomal RNA", at positions 39 to 1014 of the family's 1533-position model. Lineage: Bacteria; Bacillati; Actinomycetota; Actinomycetes; Micrococcales; Microbacteriaceae. The record is from RNAcentral.
GCGGCGUGCUUAACACAUGCAAGUCGAACGGUGAACACGGAGCUUGCUCUGUGGGAUCAGUGGCGAACGGGUGAGUAACACGUGAGCAACCUGCCCCUGACUCUGGGAUAAGCGCUGGAAACGGCGUCUAAUACUGGAUAUGUGACGUGACCGCAUGGUCUGCGUCUGGAAAGAAUUUCGGUUGGGGAUGGGCUCGCGGCCUAUCAGCUUGUUGGUGAGGUAAUGGCUCACCAAGGCGUCGACGGGUAGCCGGCCUGAGAGGGUGACCGGCCACACUGGGACUGAGACACGGCCCAGACUCCUACGGGAGGCAGCAGUGGGGAAUAUUGCACAAUGGGCGCAAGCCUGAUGCAGCAACGCCGCGUGAGGGACGACGGCCUUCGGGUUGUAAACCUCUUUUAGCAGGGAAGAAGCGAAAGUGACGGUACCUGCAGAAAAAGCGCCGGCUAACUACGUGCCAGCAGCCGCGGUAAUACGUAGGGCGCAAGCGUUAUCCGGAAUUAUUGGGCGUAAAGAGCUCGUAGGCGGUUUGUCGCGUCUGCUGUGAAAUCCGGAGGCUCAACCUCCGGCCUGCAGUGGGUACGGGCAGACUAGAGUGCGGUAGGGGAGAUUGGAAUUCCUGGUGUAGCGGUGGAAUGCGCAGAUAUCAGGAGGAACACCGAUGGCGAAGGCAGAUCUCUGGGCCGUAACUGACGCUGAGGAGCGAAAGGGUGGGGAGCAAACAGGCUUAGAUACCCUGGUAGUCCACCCCGUAAACGUUGGGAACUAGUUGUGGGGUCCAUUCCACGGAUUCCGUGACGCAGCUAACGCAUUAAGUUCCCCGCCUGGGGAGUACGGCCGCAAGGCUAAAACUCAAAGGAAUUGACGGGGACCCGCACAAGCGGCGGAGCAUGCGGAUUAAUUCGAUGCAACGCGAAGAACCUUACCAAGGCUUGACAUAUACGAGAACGGGCCAGAAAUGGUCAAC